This 450-nucleotide ribosomal RNA is filed under the name Limosilactobacillus reuteri. RNAcentral describes it as "bacterial LSU rRNA". It matches the Rfam family "Bacterial large subunit ribosomal RNA", at positions 1 to 442 of the family's 2925-position model. The record is from RNAcentral. Lineage: Bacteria; Bacillati; Bacillota; Bacilli; Lactobacillales; Lactobacillaceae.
UUAGGUUAAGUUAUGAAGGGCGCAUGGUGAAUGCCUUGGUACUAGGAGCCGAUGAAGGACGGGACUAACACCGAUAUGCUUCGGGGAGCGGUAAGUACGCUUUGAUCCGGAGAUUUCCGAAUGGGGCAACCCAAUCAGCUUAGUCGCUGAUUACUUGACUAGUGAAUACAUAGCUAGCAAGAGGUAGACGCAGUGAACUGAAACAUCUUAGUAGCUGCAGGAAGAGAAAGAAAUAUCGAUUCCCUGAGUAGCGGCGAGCGAAAAGGGAAGAGCCCAAACCAACGAGCUUGCUUGUUGGGGUUGUAGGACUGAACAUUAGAGUUACCAAAGUGCGACGUAGUCGCAACAGUUGGGAAGCUGUGCCAUAGAGGGUGAAAGCCCCGUAGACGAAACGUCACACUCUCUGUUCAGGAUCCUGAGUAAGGACGGACACGUGAAACCCCGUCGGAA